UACGGAGGGUGCAAGCGUUAUCCGGAUUCACUGGGUUUAAAGGGUGCGUAGGCGGUCAGAUAAGUCAGUUGUGAAAUACCCCGGCUUAACCGGCGGAACUGCGAUUGAUACUGUUUGACUUGAAUCAGGUUGAGGUAGGCGGAAUGUGGCAUGUAGCGGUGAAAUGCUUAGAUAUGCCAUAGAACACCGAUUGCGAAGGCAGCUUGCUGGACCUGUAUUGACGCUGAGGCACGAAAGCGUGGGGAGCAAACAGG
RNAcentral lists this ribosomal RNA (254 nucleotides) under uncultured bacterium. RNAcentral's name for it is "partial 16S ribosomal RNA". It matches the Rfam family "Bacterial small subunit ribosomal RNA", at positions 524 to 776 of the family's 1533-position model. The record is from RNAcentral.